UAUGGGGUCACACAUAAGAACAGGGUGAGCCGUGUCAAUGUUGUCUCCAAGGAAGAUGCAUUAGACUUUAUUGAGCAUGAUCAAUCUCACAACGCAGAUUAAGCUCAAGUCCUAUCUGGGAUUAAUGAAGUUAUCAAUCUGAGGUUCUGCUGUAAAUAUAGUCUUUUGCGCUUACCAUGUAAAGUAUUAUCUUCAUCAGUCCAAAGAGUUAUCUUUAUACAGAAACGUGGAUUUUGUAGGGUGUUAUGUUUGGUGGAACUGCAAAACUGUGUAGGGGGGUAAAACAGUACUUAGGUUAAUUUGUAUUAUACUCUUAUUUCUGAUUUAUUCC
This 331-nucleotide unclassified non-coding RNA is filed under the name Hevea brasiliensis (rubber tree). Lineage: Eukaryota; Viridiplantae; Streptophyta; Magnoliopsida; Malpighiales; Euphorbiaceae. The record is from RNAcentral.